UACGGGGGGGGCAAGCGUUGUUCGGAAUUACUGGGCGUAAAGGGCUCGUAGGUGGCCAACUAAGUCAGACGUGAAAUCCCUCGGCUUAACCGGGGAACUGCGUCUGAUACUGGAUGGCUAGAGAUUGGGGGAGGGAUGCGGAAUUCCAGGUGUAGCGGUGAAAUGCGUAGAUAUCUGGAGGAACACCGGUGGCGAAGGCGGUGCACUGGGGCUUGUCUGACGCUGAGGCACGAAAGCCAGGGGAGCGAACGGG
Molecule: ribosomal RNA, 253 nt
Filed under: uncultured bacterium
Lineage: Bacteria
Description: partial 16S ribosomal RNA
Rfam family: Bacterial small subunit ribosomal RNA
Source: RNAcentral